RNAcentral lists this long non-coding RNA (953 nucleotides) under Lactuca sativa (garden lettuce). Its description in RNAcentral is "long non-coding RNA (LSAT_LNC004285)". The record is from RNAcentral. Lineage: Eukaryota; Viridiplantae; Streptophyta; Magnoliopsida; Asterales; Asteraceae.
CCAUUUCUACAGUGAAUGAUUUUUCUAACAUGCUAGGUUUAUGUCUAAGUAAGUGAAUAAAGUUUUGGCUCACGAAGCUUCUCUCUGCUCCACUAUCGAAUAGUAUGCAUGCAUAAGAAUUAUCGAGAAGAAACGUACCAGUAACUACUGUAGGAUCAGCUACGGCUUCUUCGUGGCCUAUAGCCAAAACUCGUCCCACUCCGCUGGUAUUCGCUGCAUUCGGGCAGUUUCUUUUGUAGUGGCCCACCUCGCCACAACCGUAGCAAGCUUGGCCUACACCAGCAUUGGGAACUUGAGUGAUCGGUUUUACGGGGGCUCUGCAGAAGCGGACAGUGUGUCCCUUUCUGUUGCAGUUGGAGCACUGCAUUUCCCGACAAGCCCAUGGUGGUGGUAAGUGCAUUUGGUGCACUUUGGAAGGUUACCCACAUAAGGCUUUAUUGGGUAGAGAUUUGUAGGAACAGUAGUAGGUACAGUAGCAGCAUUCACUGUAACUAGUUGUUGUUUCUUCGAGGAUUCAUGGGAAGACCCACCCUUCCCCUUAUUUCAUCCUCUCUUCUUGUUAUUGUUGUUGUUGUUUCCCUUUUGUGGUUCUGGUGCAGAAAUUGUUGAGUUCUGAUGACUUACGUGAUCAAUAAGAGAUUAUGCCAGUUCUUUGGCACUUUAAAAAGUGUCAGGUUUUGAAGCUAACACGCUUGACUGAAUUUGGGGCGACAGUCCCCAAAUGUAUCUCUCUAUUUUCUUGUUCUUAGGAGCAAUCAUAUCUGGGCAAAGGAUUGCCAGAUCGCAGAAUUUUUUGGUAUAAGUUGCUAUGUCGGUACCAAUACGUGAUCAAUAAGAGAUUAUGCCAGUUCUUUGGCACUUUAAAAAGUGUCAGGUUUUGAAGCUAACACGCUUGACUGAAUUUGGGGCGACAGUCCCCAAAUGUAUCUCUCUAUUUUCUUGUUCUUAGGAGC